UUCAUUUUUUUAUUUCAUUAUUUUUUAUAAUAAUACUGUGAUAUUUGUAUUAUAAAAAUAAAAAAUGGGUCUCAAAUGAGUUUGUGCAAAUAUUAAGUAUGUCAAAAGGUUGUAACUGUGGCUAUGCUUUUUGCAUAUUGUUUGUUAUUAGGAAUUUUUGUAAUUUCAUGCAUAUAUUACUCCAAAUAAAAUGAUAUAUUGGUCUUGCUCAAAAAUGAUAGGUUUCAAUCACUCCAACUUGCACCCUCAUAACCUUGGGGUUUGGUUCGAAUCCCCUGGUUAUGAAUUGAAAUGGUAAGAAAGUUAGAAAUUUCCAGAAUUUAUAGAUUGCUCAUUACUGAUGAUUAUUAUUACAUUCUACUUUAUUGUAAUAAAUUUAAUGAAAUCAAAAAUACAAAAACCAGACACCAAGACAAUUCAUUAAAAUUAUUAAUCUCCUUGAAUUCUGUUGAUGUUUUGAAAUUAUGCCUAAUUAAUAUACAAAAAAAAAUAAUAUAAUUAAAAUUAUGAAAUCUCGCUUAAUUUCCAUCAAAAUCUUUUGAAAUAUUCAGCAUUUAUUGCAUUUUUUAUUCUUUCUAACAAUGUAAGCAUUUUUUUUUUAAUUUAAUUUUUUUCACAAUUUUUCAUUACAUAUAUGAUUGCAGAAAACAAU
Molecule: long non-coding RNA, 652 nt
Filed under: Androctonus crassicauda
Lineage: Eukaryota; Metazoa; Arthropoda; Arachnida; Scorpiones; Buthidae
Source: RNAcentral